This 340-nucleotide long non-coding RNA is filed under the name Carica papaya (papaya). Its description in RNAcentral is "long non-coding RNA (CPAP_LNC000022)". Lineage: Eukaryota; Viridiplantae; Streptophyta; Magnoliopsida; Brassicales; Caricaceae. The record is from RNAcentral.
GAUCUGUUCCCGCACGCACGGACGGCCCAGAUCAAACGUGCGCACGGACAGCCCAGAUUCACGCGUACGGACGACCCAGAUUCAAUCAGGCACGGACGGCCCAGAUUGCAUCGCGAUGGACGGCCCAGAUUUAAUUCCAAUUAAAUCGCGAUCGGACGGUCCAGAUUUAAUCUUGAUGGACGGUUGAGAUUAAAAGGCAAAUUGUAUAAAUAACCCCACCCACACCUGACCACAAAACCUUAGCCGCCAGUGCCUCGCCGGAGAAGAAGAACCAGACGCCGGAGGAGCCGGCCGCCGCCACCCGCCGCCGCACCGGAGAGGUUUCCGACCGCCAAUCAAG